Molecule: ribosomal RNA, 2927 nt
Filed under: Salmonella enterica subsp. enterica serovar Enteritidis str. EC20120496
Lineage: Bacteria; Pseudomonadati; Pseudomonadota; Gammaproteobacteria; Enterobacterales; Enterobacteriaceae
Description: bacterial LSU rRNA
Rfam family: Bacterial large subunit ribosomal RNA
Source: RNAcentral
GGGUUGUGAGGUUAAGCGACUAAGCGUACACGGUGGAUGCCCUGGCAGUCAGAGGCGAUGAAGGGCGUGCUAAUCUGCGAUAAGCGCCGGUAAGGUGAUAUGAACCGUUAUAACCGGCGAUACCCGAAUGGGGAAACCCAGUGUGAUUCGUCACACUAUCAUUAACUGAAUCCAUAGGUUAAUGAGGCGAACCGGGGGAACUGAAACAUCUAAGUACCCCGAGGAAAAGAAAUCAACCGAGAUUCCCCCAGUAGCGGCGAGCGAACGGGGAGGAGCCCAGAGCCUGAAUCAGCAUGUGUGUUAGUGGAAGCGUCUGGAAAGGCGCGCGAUACAGGGUGACAGCCCCGUACACAAAAGCGCAUGUGCUGUGAGCUCGAUGAGUAGGGCGGGACACGUGGUAUCCUGUCUGAAUAUGGGGGGACCAUCCUCCAAGGCUAAAUACUCCUGACUGACCGAUAGUGAACCAGUACCGUGAGGGAAAGGCGAAAAGAACCCCGGCGAGGGGAGUGAAAAAGAACCUGAAACCGUGUACGUACAAGCAGUGGGNNNNNNNNNNNNNNNGUGUGACUGCGUACCUUUUGUAUAAUGGGUCAGCGACUUAUAUUCUGUAGCAAGGUUAACCGAAUAGGGGAGCCGGAGGGAAACCGAGUCUUAAUUGGGCGUUAAGUUGCAGGGUAUAGACCCGAAACCCGGUGAUCUAGCCAUGGGCAGGUUGAAGGUUGGGUAACACUAACUGGAGGACCGAACCGACUAAUGUUGAAAAAUUAGCGGAUGACCUGUGGCUGGGGGUGAAAGGCCAAUCAAACCGGGAGAUAGCUGGUUCUCCCCGAAAGCUAUUUAGGUAGCGCCUCGUGAAUUCAUCUCCGGGGGUAGAGCACUGUUUCGGCUAGGGGGCCAUCCCGGCUUACCAACCCGAUGCAAACUGCGAAUACCGGAGAAUGUUAUCACGGGAGACACACGGCGGGUGCUAACGUCCGUCGUGAAGAGGGAAACAACCCAGACCGCCAGCUAAGGUCCCAAAGUCAUGGUUAAGUGGGAAACGAUGUGGGAAGGCCCAGACAGCCAGGAUGUUGGCUUAGAAGCAGCCAUCAUUUAAAGAAAGCGUAAUAGCUCACUGGUCGAGUCGGCCUGCGCGGAAGAUGUAACGGGGCUAAACCAUGCACCGAAGCUGCGGCAGCGACACUGUGUGUUGUUGGGUAGGGGAGCGUUCUGUAAGCCUGCGAAGGUGGCCUGUGAGGGUUGCUGGAGGUAUCAGAAGUGCGAAUGCUGACAUAAGUAACGAUAAAGCGGGUGAAAAGCCCGCUCGCCGGAAGACCAAGGGUUCCUGUCCAACGUUAAUCGGGGCAGGGUGAGUCGACCCCUAAGGCGAGGCCGAAAGGCGUAGUCGAUGGGAAACGGGUUAAUAUUCCCGUACUUGGUGUUACUGCGAAGGGGGGACGGAGAAGGCUAUGUUGGCCGGGCGACGGUUGUCCCGGUUUAAGCGUGUAGGUGUGUGUUCCAGGUAAAUCCGGUUCACUUUAACACUGAGGCGUGACGACGAGGCACUACGGUGCUGAAGCAACAAAUGCCCUGCUUCCAGGAAAAGCCUCUAAGCAUCAGGUAACAUCAAAUCGUACCCCAAACCGACACAGGUGGUCAGGUAGAGAAUACCAAGGCGCUUGAGAGAACUCGGGUGAAGGAACUAGGCAAAAUGGUGCCGUAACUUCGGGAGAAGGCACGCUGACACGUAGGUGAAGUGAUUUACUCAUGGAGCUGAAGUCAGUCGAAGAUACCAGCUGGCUGCAACUGUUUAUUAAAAACACAGCACUGUGCAAACACGAAAGUGGACGUAUACGGUGUGACGCCUGCCCGGUGCCGGAAGGUUAAUUGAUGGGGUCAGCGCAAGCGAAGCUCCUGAUCGAAGCCCCGGUAAACGGCGGCCGUAACUAUAACGGUCCUAAGGUAGCGAAAUUCCUUGUCGGGUAAGUUCCGACCUGCACGAAUGGCGUAAUGAUGGCCAGGCUGUCUCCACCCGAGACUCAGUGAAAUUGAACUCGCUGUGAAGAUGCAGUGUACCCGCGGCAAGACGGAAAGACCCCGUGAACCUUUACUAUAGCUUGACACUGAACAUUGAGCCUUGAUGUGUAGGAUAGGUGGGAGGCUUUGAAGUGUGGACGCCAGUCUGCAUGGAGCCGACCUUGAAAUACCACCCUUUAAUGUUUGAUGUUCUAACGUGGACCCGUUACCCGGGUUGCGGACAGUGUCUGGUGGGUAGUUUGACUGGGGCGGUCUCCUCCUAAAGAGUAACGGAGGAGCACGAAGGUUGGCUAAUCCUGGUCGGACAUCAGGAGGUUAGUGCAAUGGCAUAAGCCAGCUUGACUGCGAGCGUGACGGCGCGAGCAGGUGCGAAAGCAGGUCAUAGUGAUCCGGUGGUUCUGAAUGGAAGGGCCAUCGCUCAACGGAUAAAAGGUACUCCGGGGAUAACAGGCUGAUACCGCCCAAGAGUUCAUAUCGACGGCGGUGUUUGGCACCUCGAUGUCGGCUCAUCACAUCUGGGGCUGAAGUAGGUCCCAAGGGUAUGGCUGUUCGCCAUUUAAAGUGGUACGCGAGCUGGGUUUAGAACGUCGUGAGACAGUUCGGUCCCUAUCUGCCGUGGGCGCUGGAGAACUGAGGGGGGCUGCUCCUAGUACGAGAGGACCGGAGUGGACGCAUCACUGGUGUUCGGGUUGUCAUGCCAAUGGCACUGCCCGGUAGCUAAAUGCGGAAGAGAUAAGUGCUGAAAGCAUCUAAGCACGAAACUUGCCCCGAGAUGAGUUCUCCCUGAGACUUAAAGUCUCCUGAAGGAACGUUGAAGACGACGACGUUGAUAGGCCGGGUGUGUAAGCGCAGCGAUGCGUUGAGCUAACCGGUACUAAUGAACCGUGAGGCUUAACCUUACAACGCCGAAG